GUGCUCAAUUCAGUAGCACAUAAGCUAAAAUUAGAAUGAUACAGACUAGUAUGACCGCUGUGCAAAGAUGACAUGCAAAUUUGUGAUGCAUUAAAAUAAUAA
This is a small nuclear RNA of Erinaceus europaeus (western European hedgehog), 102 nucleotides long. The record is from Ensembl. NCBI's taxonomy places the organism in Eukaryota, Metazoa, Chordata, Mammalia, Eulipotyphla, Erinaceidae.